This 385-nucleotide ribosomal RNA is filed under the name uncultured bacterium. Its description in RNAcentral is "bacterial SSU rRNA". It matches the Rfam family "Bacterial small subunit ribosomal RNA", at positions 28 to 438 of the family's 1533-position model. The record is from RNAcentral.
GACGAACGCUGGCGGCGUGCCUAACACAUGCAAGUCGAGGGGUGCUUUCGGGCAUCACUGGCGCACGGGUGAGUAACGCGUAGAUCAUCUGCCCUAUCACUGACAUAACAGUUCUAACGGACUGCUAAUAUCAGAUGAGGUGAGCAAUCAUCAAAGUUUCGACGGAUAGGGAUGAGUCUGCGUCUGAUUAGGUAGUUGGUGAGGUAACGGCUCACCAAGCCGACGAUCAGUAACUGGUCUGAGAGGACGAACAGUCACACUGGAACUGAGACACGGUCCAGACUCCUACGGGAGGCAGCAGUGAGGAAUAUUGCACAAUGGGAGCAAUCCUGAUGCAGCGACGCCGCGUGCGGGAUGAAGGGCUUAGCCUCGUAAACCGCUGUCG